This 772-nucleotide ribosomal RNA is filed under the name uncultured Neocallimastigales. RNAcentral's name for it is "partial large subunit ribosomal RNA". It matches the Rfam family "Eukaryotic large subunit ribosomal RNA", at positions 24 to 632 of the family's 3401-position model. Lineage: Eukaryota; Fungi; Neocallimastigomycota; Neocallimastigomycetes; Neocallimastigales. The record is from RNAcentral.
GUAGUCUCGCACAGAUGCAUAUCAAUAAGCGGAGGAAAAGAAACUAACAAGGAUUCCCCUAGUAAUGGCGAGUGAAGCGGGAAGAGCUCAAAUUUGAAAUCUUAAAGGGUUUCCCUUUACGAAUUGUAGUUUAAAGAAGUGUUUUCUGUUGAGGUUUUGGUAAAAGUUCUUUGGAAUAGGACAUCAUAGAGGGUGAGAAUCCCGUAUUUGACCUUUACUUUCAACUUUGUGAUACACUUUCAAAGAGUCGGAUUGUUUGGGAAUGCAGUCCAAAAUGGGUGGUAAAUUUCAUCUAAAGCUAAAUAUUGGCGAGAGACCGAUAGCGAACAAGUACCGUGAGGGAAAGAUGAAAAGAACUUGAAAAGAGAGUUAAACAGUACGUGAAAUUGUCAAAAGGGAAGCGUUUGACACCAGUGUUGUUUUUCUGAAAAUCAAUUAAAGAACUGUUUAUGCUAAGCUGUUUAGACUUUAUCAGCUAACUGUUUAGUUUUGAGCUUUUCUUUAAUGCACUUUUCAGUUAACAAGUCAACAUCAAUUUCUUUUGCUGUAAAAAAGCUUGAGGAAGGUGGCUUGAGAUUCGUCUUAAGUGUUUAUAGCCUCUUGCCUAUGCAGUCGGAGAGAUUGAGGUCCGCAGCGUAGAUCCUUCGGGACUAAAUGCAUUUGUGCUAAGUUAUAGCAUUUUAUAGACAACUUGUUGACUAUGAUUUGUCUUGUAGCUUACUCGCUUAUGUUAUUUUACCUACGCUUAGGAUGUUGAAGACUCUACAGAGAU